This 85-nucleotide transfer RNA is filed under the name Chitiniphilus purpureus. Its description in RNAcentral is "Chitiniphilus sp. CD1 tRNA-Leu". It matches the Rfam family "tRNA". From Rfam's summary of the family: Transfer RNA (tRNA) molecules are approximately 80 nucleotides in length. Their secondary structure includes four short double-helical elements and three loops (D, anti-codon, and T loops). The record is from RNAcentral. Lineage: Bacteria; Pseudomonadati; Pseudomonadota; Betaproteobacteria; Neisseriales; Chitinibacteraceae.
GCGAGGGUGGCGGAAUUGGUAGACGCACUGGAUUUAGGUUCCAGCGCCGCAAGGCGUGGGGGUUCGAUUCCCCCCUCUCGCACCA